GUGGGGAAUUUUGCGCAAUGGACGAAAGUCUGACGCAGCAACGCCGCGUGGAGGAUGAAGGCCUUCGGGUCGUAAACUCCUGUCAGGGGGGACGAAAAAAAUGACUGUACCCCUUGAGGAAGCCACGGCUAACUCCGUGCCAGCAGCCGCGGUAAUACGGAGGUGGCAAGCGUUGUUCGGAAUUACUGGGCGUAAAGGGCGCGUAGGCGGCUUGGCAAGUCAGAUGUGAAAGCCCCGGGCUUAACCCGGGAAUUGCAUCUGAAACUGCUUUGCUUGAGUCCUGGAGGGGGUAGUGGAAUUCCCAGUGUAGCGGUGAAAUGCGUAGAUAUUGGGAGGAACACCUGCGGCGAAGGCGGCUACCUGGACAGUGACUGACGCUGAUGCGCGAAAGCUAGGGGAGCAAACGGGAUUAGAAACCCGUGUAGUCC
This 428-nucleotide ribosomal RNA is filed under the name uncultured bacterium. RNAcentral describes it as "bacterial SSU rRNA". It matches the Rfam family "Bacterial small subunit ribosomal RNA", at positions 354 to 796 of the family's 1533-position model. The record is from RNAcentral.